Molecule: ribosomal RNA, 326 nt
Filed under: uncultured eukaryote
Lineage: Eukaryota
Description: partial 18S ribosomal RNA
Rfam family: Eukaryotic small subunit ribosomal RNA
Source: RNAcentral
CCCUUAGAUGUUCUGGGCCGCACGCGCGCUACACUGAUGCAUUCAACAAGCCUAGCCUUGACCGAGAGGUCCGGGUAAUCUUUGAAACUGCAUCGUGAUGGGGCUAGAUUAUUGCAAUUAUUAAUCUUCAACGAGGAAUGCCUAGUAAGCGUGAUUCAUCAAAUCGCGUUGAUUACGUCCCUGCCCUUUGUACACACCGCCCGUCGCUCCUACCGCUUGAAUGUGUUGGUGAGGAGCUCGGAUUGGCAGCAGUUGGUGGUUCGCCACCGGCUAUUGCUGAGAAGUCCUCCAAACCGCCCCAUUUAGAGGAAGGAGAAGUCGUAACA